RNAcentral lists this transfer RNA (72 nucleotides) under Patescibacteria group bacterium. Its description in RNAcentral is "tRNA-Cys". It matches the Rfam family "tRNA". Rfam says of the family: Transfer RNA (tRNA) molecules are approximately 80 nucleotides in length. The record is from RNAcentral.
GGGUCGGUAGUGCCAACGGGAGAACCCAGGUGUGCAACACCUGAAAUACGGGUUCGAAUCCCGUCCGAUCCA